GUCAGCAUAGUUUAACCAAAACAUUAAGCUGUGAACUUAAAAACAAGGACCUACCACCCUUUGCCGACC
RNAcentral lists this transfer RNA (69 nucleotides) under Geckolepis petiti. RNAcentral's name for it is "tRNA-His". Lineage: Eukaryota; Metazoa; Chordata; Lepidosauria; Squamata; Gekkonidae. RNAcentral also lists the same sequence under 2 other names. The record is from RNAcentral.